UCACAAAUAAACAUUAACGACCACGUGUCACAUUCUAAUUGGAUGAUGAAAAUGUUAGAACUGACUUUUGGAUGCACCUUUUCAUGUCCAAUCAGAAUGUGACACAUGGUAGUCAAUGUGA
Molecule: non-coding RNA, 121 nt
Organism: Glycine soja
Lineage: Eukaryota; Viridiplantae; Streptophyta; Magnoliopsida; Fabales; Fabaceae
Source: Rfam